RNAcentral lists this ribosomal RNA (493 nucleotides) under uncultured bacterium. RNAcentral's name for it is "partial 16S ribosomal RNA". It matches the Rfam family "Bacterial small subunit ribosomal RNA", at positions 28 to 507 of the family's 1533-position model. The record is from RNAcentral.
GACGAACGCUGGCGGCGUGCUUAACACAUGCAAGUCGAACGGUGAAGCGCCUUCCUUUUGGUGGGUGUGGAUGAGUGGCGAACGGGUGAGUAACACGUGAGUAACCUGCCCCCUCCUUCUGGAUAACCGCAUGAAAGUGUGGCUAAUACGGGAUAUUCUGGGUCUGUCGCAUGAUGGGUCUGGGAAAGAUAUUGUUUCGGUGGGGGAUGGGCUCGCGGCCUAUCAGCUUGUUGGUGGGGUGAUGGCCUACCAAGGCGGUGACGGGUAGCCGGCCUGAGAGGGUGGACGGUCACACUGGGACUGAGACACGGCCCAGACUCCUACGGGAGGCAGCAGUGGGGAAUAUUGCACAAUGGGCGCAAGCCUGAUGCAGCGACGCCGCGUGAGGGAUGGAGGCCUUCGGGUUGUGAACCUCUUUCGCCAGUGAAGCAGGCCUGCCUCGUUUGUGGGUGGGUUGACGGUAGCUGGAUAAGAAGCGCCGGCUAACUACGUG